UUUGAGAGGGAACUCAACGACUUCUUGUCACUCCAAUCAGAAUGGCCUUUAAAAGCCUAUUCUAAUUGUAAUGAGACCACAUUUAUUCAGUUCUUAUACACAUGGUUAAGGUGAACUAAGCAACACACACAAAAUGCUGGUGGAACGCAGCAUUUUGUGUGUGUUGCUUGAAUUUCCAGCAUCUGCAGAUUUCCUCGUGUUAAGGUGAACUAAGAGCCACUCUUAUGCAGACAUUAUUGGAUAUAUAUAAGCAACACACAAUAUCCAGCAUCUGCAGAUUCUCUCUUGCUUGGAUGUAUAUAAUGCAAGUUGAUGUUCAAGUGCACAUAUAUUUGCCACUCCAAAUAUCUACGAAGUUAAACUGCUGCAUGCACAUUAAUUGAAUCAUAGAAAUGAAUGAGAUAAUAUUUUAGGUUGACUUAUCAGCCCUAGAAGAAUUGUAAGUUUUUGAUAAAUACAGAAAUGGGAAAAGUGAGCAUGGGUAAACAGACAGGAGAUGCUUUAUCUUACAAUAGAGUGACUAAAUUAUAACAAAAAUGGAAGUGCAAAGCAGAAUGGGGAACUGAGAUACUGAAAUAAAUAAACAUUAAAUCCUGAGAUGUUUAUUGUGGCUAAACAAAAGAGAAGCAAACACAGAUAAUGUUAAAAGAAGAAGACUUCUGUGACGCAGGAUUCUGGGGAAGAGAGAUGGGUGCCCUUCAGAGUGUGAUUCUUCCCACUGGCCAUCAAGUAACGGUAUUUUCACCCCUACUUCAACUCUUGUUCUUUCUUUUUCAGAUUGGAGCUCUUUGCCGUUGUAAAGAGAAAGCUGAAAUGUAACUUACCUACAAUAUACUUAACAAUAUAGACUACUUAAUUCUCGCUUUGGCAGUCUGAGGUACCCACCUGCUUCAAGCAGUCUUCAGUUACAUAGGUGCUAAGAAGGUAUAAGUUGUGGUAACUUGCCUCAAUGACAAUGGUCCAGUAGCACUUACAUCCACUGUGAUGGAGAGUUUUGAGAGGUUGAUGAUGAAACACAUUAACUCCUGCCUGAGAAGCAACUUGGUUCCAUUCCAAUUUGUGUACCGGCACAGCAGGUCCACAGCCGAUGCCAUUUCAUUGACUCUUCACUCAACCCUGGAACAUCUGGAUAGCAAAGGUGUACACAUUAGGAUGCUCUUUAUCAACUACAGCCUGUCAUUCAAUACUAUCAUUCCCUCAAAGCUAAUCAAUAAGUUUCAAGACCUUGGCAUCAAUACCUCCUUAUACAAUUGGAUCCUUGAUUCCCUCACUUGCAGACCCCAGUCAGUUUGGAUUGGCAAUAACAUUUCCUUCACAAUCUCCAUCAGCACAGGUAUACCACAAGGCUGUGUGCUUAGCCUCCUGCUCUAUUCACUUCACACUUACGACUGUGUGACUAAGCACAGCUCCAAAGCCAUUUUAAGUUUGCUGACAACACCAAUUAGUUGGUCAAAUCAAAGGUAGUGUUGAAUCAGCAUAUAGGAGGGAGAUUGAAAAAUUUGGCUGAGAGAUGUGACAACAAUCUGUCAAAGUCAGUAAGACCAAGGAGCUGAUUAUUGACAGGAGGAGGAAACCAGAGGCCCAUGAAUCACUCCUCAUCAGGGUAUCAGAGGUGGAGAGCAACUUUAAGUUCCUUGGUGCUGUUUUUUUCAGAGGACCUGUCCUGGGCCCAGCACAUAAGAACAAUCAUAAAGAAAGCACAGCAGCACCUCUACUUCCUCAGAAGUUUGCAAAGAUUCAGCAUGACAUCUAAAACUUUGACCAACUUUUAUAGGUAUGUGGUGGAGAGUAAAUUUACUGGCUGCAUUGCUGCUUGGCACGGAAACAACAAUGCCCUUGAACAGAAAAUCCCACAAAAAAUAAUGGAUAUGGCCCAGUCCUUCAUAAGUAAAGCUCUCCCCAUCACUGAGCGUAUCUACAUGGUGCGUUGUCACAGGAAAGUAGCAUCCAUAACAGGGACCCUCACCACCUCGGUCAUGCUCUCUUCUCACUGCUGUCAUCAGGAAGAAGGUACAGGAGCCGCAAGACUUACACCACCAGGUUCAGUGACAGUUAUUACUCCUCAACCAUCAGGCUCUUGAACCAGAGGGGAUAACUUCACUUGCCCCAUCACUGCACAAUUCCCACAACCAGUUCCCACUUUCAAGGACUCUUCAUCUCAUGAUCUCAAUAUUUAUUCCUUGUUUAUUUAUCAUUAUUCUUUGUUUCUUUCUUUUGUGUUUGCACAGUUUAUUGUCUUUUUUUGGUGUGGUCUUUCAUUGGUUCUAUCAUGGUUAUUAGAUUUAUUGAGUAUGCACACAAGAAAAUGAUUCUCAGGGCUGUCACUAAUUAACCCAUUCGUCUUUGGAAUUUGGGAGGAAACCCAAUGGCCACAGGGAGAAUGUACUCACUUUUUACAGACAACAGUGGAAUUGAACCCAGGUUAGACCUUAAGACCAUAAAACAUAGGAGCAGAAUUAAACCAUUCGGCCCAAUAGAUUGCUGGUGCUGUAAUAGUACUACACUAACCUCCAUCCUACAGCGCCGCUUAAUUUCCUUAUCGAUAAAACUAGAGGACAAAGGUUUUUGGGAAGAGAGGAAAUAUUCAGAGAUAUGAGAAGAACUUAUUUACUCAGCAGUGAUUACCUGGAGUGCAUUGUCUGAGAGAAUGUUUAAAGCUGCAUCACUGACAGCAUUUAACAAAUGUCUAGGGUGGACACUUGAAUCUUGUAGGCUCCAAGAGCUGUAGACUGUGCUGGGUAAUGGGGUUAAUGCAGAAUUACGUACACUAGUUGGUGUGGACUGUUCGGGUGAAAUGGCCUAUUCCCUUGUACAAAUCUAUCAUUCAAGUGGAAUAUGACAGAAAAUCUUAGUAGUUGAGGCAACUCCAGGAGCCCAUUACUUGCAGGCCACAGCUUCAGCUCAGCACAGAUUUGAGUAAACUUGAGAAAUAAUGAGCUGAACACCUGCCCAUCCCUUGCCUCCGACCCCAAUACCCUGAUCUUUUCAAUCUGGUCCGGUGUUCAAAUUGGCUAAACCUCAGCUCAUUCUUCACUCUUGGACCCAACCCUGCCACUUUGAUAGGCUCUCAGGGCUGGACCCCACUAGCUUGAUUUGGCCUGUACCCAAUCUUUCGAAUUAGAGCCAGCACUUAAAUCCAUCAAAUCGCGCUUGUUCCUCACUCUUAGGCCUGGGCCCUGCCACCUCGACUCUGUUCUGCUGCUUUGAAUUGCUUCCAAGUCUGCUCUAGCAAUAGCCAAAUAUUAGCUCAUUCCCUACUCUCGGUCCUGUGCUUGGCCCCUGCCACCUUAAUUCAGCCUGUACAUGCAUGCUGCAAUUAUCUUGCACCUUUGAGACCAGUUCACACCUUAAAAAUGCCAGGUUGUUCAGGCAGUUCAAAAACUCACCUCCAAAAGGGAAGUUACAGGCUUUUGAUUGCAGUGAUUAUUUUUGAGAAGAAUUGUGAGUAAUAAAGUAAGUAGUAGCUGUGUUUGCUGCCAGCAAGUUAUCGCUGUGCUUCACCAGUGCCAUCUUAAACCAGAAGAUGAUGUACCUGUGUACAUACAUCAACUGAUGCCUCUGGACACAUCUUCAGUGGUGUUCCUGGAAUCACUGGGUGUUUCGGGUGUUUCAAUAUCAUACACCCUCCUCCAAGUGACCCAGCUGGGGCUGAUCAGACCCCAGCUUGUGUCCAGAAGGCUAGCUACUUAUGACUCAAUGGCUCCCCACUUUUGAACCACAGCCAUCUUGAGGCCCUCUCUGCUGCAUCAGUGAUACUGCAGAUGGCUCUCCUCUUCCUCUCUCCCUCAAUGCCCAAAUUGCUGAAGGCUCUGGCUAAAGAAUGGGCUGCAAAUCCCCUACAUCCAACCUCCACUGGGCUUAUUGACCUCUCCCUUUGCCGUUGCCUCCAGAAUUUGGUUGACAUCUUUGUCAAACUGCUACCACAGUAAAGUCAUGUUAGCUGUAGGCCGUUUGAUCCGCAUCCUGUUAGACUUGAUGUUAGAGGGAUUAGUUUGCAACACUUGGAGGUUCCAGGCACUAUGGGGUGACUCCGGGCCUGGCACCUCCUUCGUCUCACCAGGUUGGACACCUGCAUGUUGUGCUGCUCCUGCUCCUGCCAGACACUUCAUCCUUGCUUGGUGGAUCUUCAAACUGCAAUCAUUCUUGCACAUUACCUAAUAUAUCAAUGUAACUUAUAGUCCCUUUGGGAUGAAGAAGGGAAAGAGAGUUUCACAAGCUUCUGUCUAUAUAUGUUCCUAAGGGUUGACCGGAAUUGGCAACCAGAUUUACCAUGUCCUAAGUUAGAGUACUCCCCCAAUGGUUAAAUAAACUUUUCAACAUAAGGACUGUAUGGCGACUCAGCAGUUAGCAUAACGUUAUUACAGCGAUCACUAACUGGGGUUCAAUUCCUGCCACUGGUUGUUAUCUUGCUUGCUUAUAAGAACAUUGAAUUUUGUCCUGCAUAAGAAUACAGUUAUAAACAUGAACACAAUAACAUCCAUUAGCAUCGGAAGCUUUCACCAUAUGAAACAAGUUCCUGUGGUUUUUGUCCCUGGGCAACUGGUAAAUUGUUUUUCUUUUAUUGUCACAUGUACCUGGAAUACAGAACAGUACAGUGCAGUGCAGGUUCUUCACUGCCAAGCUGUUAACCUACUCUUAAGAUCAAUCCCACCCUUCCCACCUACAUAGCCCUCCAUUUUUCUAUCAUCCUCGGGCCUAUCUAAAAGCUUCUUAAAUGUCACUGGUGUCUUGUUGAAGGGUCUCGGCCCAAAACAUUGAUUGUACUUUUUUCCAUAGAUGCUGCCUGGCCUGCUGAGUUCCUCCAGCAUUUUGUGCGUGUUUCUUAUAUGUUCCUAAUGUAUCUGCCUCUACCACCACCCCUGACAGUGUGUUCCAUACACUCACUACUUCCUAUGUAAAGAACUUACCUCUGACAUCCCUACUACAUAUCCUCCAAUCACCUUUAAAUUAUACUCCCUUGGUAUUAGUAAUUUCUGCCCUGGGUAAAAGUUUCUGGCACUCCACUCAAUCUAUGCCUCUUACCAUCUUGUACAAUUCUAACAAUUCACCUCUCAUCCUCCUUUGCUCCAAAAAGAAAAACCCUGGCUCAGUCAACCUUUCCUCAUAAGACACACAGUUAGUUAAAGUGAAAAACUAUCUUUGCAUGCUGUCCAUACAAAUUAUUUCAUUACAACAGUGCAUUGAGGUAGUACAAAGUAAAACAAUAUCAGACUGCAGAAUAACCGGACCAGAGAAGGUAGUGCAGUUAGACAAUAAGGUGCAAGGUCUUAACAAGGUAUGUUGUAAGGUCAAGAGUCCCUUUCUAUCAUACUAGGGAACAAAUCAAUAGUCUUGUAACAGAGGAAUAGUAACUCUUGAGUCCGGUAGUAUGUGCUUUCAGGCUUUUGUCAUUUGCUUGAAGGGAGGAUGAAGAAGAGAGAGUAUCUGUGAUGGGACAUUCUCUCUUCUACCCCCUCCCAUCGAGGCAGCACGGUGGCAGAGCAGUUAGCACAACACUUUACAGUUGACACUGUUGCUGAUCAAUGAUUACUGGUACUGUAAAGCAUUUCGCUAACUGCUACAUUACCAUGGCGUGCCGCCAAGUAUCACUCCACCAGUGAUAGAUCAUUCUCUAACCACACACCACUUUACAACUUCAUCUCUGGCCCAGUCCUCAAACACAAUUUCAUAGUCAUCAUGAAUCAUCAGAAGAAUUUUUUCCCCUUUCCUUUGAGUUAAGUUGCUCCUGAUCCUUCUCUUCCCAGCUGUAUAACUAGAGCACAGGGCCCAUUCUGACAGUCCUCUUGCCCCUGAACCUGGUCUCUCAUACUUUUAUACAUGGUGCAUUUUCAUUCCCAGACACAAACAUAGCAUAUUCAUUAAUAUGUGGUGAAACUUGCAGGCUGCCCAGCACAAUCCUCGCCAACUUGAUUUGAUGGAAACGACACAUUUCACUAGCUAUUUUGAUGUACAUAUGACAAAUAAAGCUCAUCUUUAAUUUUUUUAUCUUAGUGGAUAGUUGGGGCGGGAGAUUGAAGGCACUAUUGAGAGUCAGUGUAAGAACAAUUACAUUAAGCUUAGGAAUUACCUGAUGGAGGUUCCAUCAGUGUAGUAGUGAAAGGGUGGAGUCACCACAGAAAUGCCAAAUGCUGGUAGUUCAUGUGGCAAUGUGGAUUUGAUUUCCACCACAAUGUUCCAAAAAGAAACUAGCUUUAUUUGUUUCUUGUGCAGUGCAUUGAAACAUCAAAACAUGCACCAUUUGUGUCAAAUCAAAUUAGCAAGGAUUGUGUUGGGCAGCCUGCAGGUAUUGCCAUGCUUAAGGCGCCAAUAACUUACUAACCCCAGCCUUAACCGUACUUCUUUGGAAUGCAGGAUCAUUGUAUUGUGAGUUAUAUAGAGGGAGGAGUGAGACAGGGAAGGGAGGGGCAUAAGCAUCAGUGUCUGAUUAAGUUCCCAAAAUGACCACAAAUUGGCUGUUACCCUAUUUCACUAUGCAGCUAAAGGAAAUUUGAGUGUAUCAUGUUGAAAACUAAGUCAGGUCAGUGGAAAAGGUCAUUGGCUGCAGUCUACCAUCACUGCAGGACUUGUAUGUUUCCAGGACAAAGAAGUGAGCAGGAAAAAUAAUUGUGGACAGACUCUACCCACCUACAAACUGCCUUUUCCAAAAGCUCCCUUUUGGAAAGCCCUACAGGGCUAUUAAAACAAAACUUCACGCCAUCUUAAACAUUUCUUCCUUCAAGCAGUUAAUCUGAUCAACCACCUAAUUAUCCCCAACCCCUCUAUCUAUUUACUCCCAUCGCUACGCUGUAUCCAUAAAUACUUAAACCACUUUUUAUAAUGCUGUUUACAUUGUAAAUACCUCUAGUAUUUAUGCCAUCUUAUUCCAUAUUUGUAAUUAAACCUUUAACUUACUUUUAUAUAAUUCUUUAUAAUUGUCAAUUUUUUUGUUGCAUAUCACACCCUGACCAACACACCACAGCAAGUUCUUAAUAAAUGUAAAUAUAUAUGGCAAAUAAAGUUGACCCUUGAAUAUUAUGAUUGAAUUUUGUAGAUACAGUAUUCAGAAGUACUGAUUUUAGACCAUUCUGCCAAUAGGGGGCGGUUGAAACUAAAUGUAGAUGCAGAUAAACAGUGAUCAUAUGGGACCAAGAAACCAACAGAAAGGAAAAUGCAUUAAAGUUAUCAUGUUAAAUGCAAGUCUGUGAAGAGAUACAAGGCUACAGCGCUUAUUUCUGAAGUACUAAGAGCAGAAUAAUUAAUAAACACAAGUCAUCUAUUAUAAGGAAUUUAGGACACAAAAAAAAGCCAUGAGCUCAACUGAACUAAAGUAGUAUUCCAUAUGAGCCUCUUCUCAUCUUCCUUUGUUACACACCAUCUCCCUUUUCUACUUUUCUGGCUUUUCAAAUCAGCCACAACUAUUCCAUGAAAUAAUAAGUUCGACAUUUUCAGCAUUUUCUCAGGUUUCUCCUAAAUUCCUUAUGUGAUUUAUUGGUAGCAGGCAUAUAUGAAUGGUCCCUAGUUUUGGCUUCCUGCCAUAAAGGGUUACAUCAUCUCUGAAUAUGCCCUGUCAAACUCUAUCUUCAUUUUGAAGUCUUACGUCAGGUCAGUUAACAAGCACCUUAAGAGAAUUGUUCCCUUCCUGUACAAAUUCUCCUGAUAAUUACAACUUUCCUGUUCUGUUAUAUAUUCCCAGAAAAAUUGCUAGCGUCCCCUCUAGCACCUCCAUAUUUUUAUAUUAGAUUGAAAAUCUGCUGUAUUGUAAGAAUUGUUGCGGCAUAAACUACUGGGUAGACUUUACCUAGAGAACUAUAUGUCUUUAAAGACUAACUUUAUUUGUCACAUGUACAACUAAACAUACAGUGAAGUGUGUCUUUUGCAUCAAAUCAACUAAGAUUGUACAGGGCAGCCCGCAAGUCCCCACACUUAUGGCACCAACAUAACAUACCCACAGCUUACCAUUACUAACCCUAACCUGUAUGUCUUUGAAAAUUGAGGAAACAAAAGCACCUCGAUGAAGCUCACACAAUCACACGGAGAACAUAUAAACUCUUUACAGGCAGUGGCAGAAAUUGAAUCCUGAUUGGUGAUUGCUGGCACUGUAAAACAAUGCACUAACAGCUAUGCUACUGUGCUGCCACUGUGUCAUUUUGGCUGUCAGUAUAAUUCCACUUCAGUGGAUGCACAGGCAACAAUAUUCUGCAUCAGGAAUUUAAGUUGGAGGAUAAAACAGCUCUUAAGUGGCAAAGUUACGCUUUCGUUAAAUUUGGGCUAUUGCUCAGACCUGCAGUUGAUGUAAGCAAUCAAUGCUAGAAAUCUAGAAUUAGGCUCUUGGGCCUGAAUUUUUGAAAAUUAUGGUCCAUUGUUAUGCUCCAUCAAUGUCAACAAUCUCGUGUAGAAAUUAUAGGAUGAGUCUCAUGAAAUUAUUUCCUGGGAAUUCUGCAAUGUUUUUAGCAAGAACUUAAGCAAACCUUGCAAAAAUGGGUGCCAUCUUUCAGAUGAGAUUGCAUGCAGCAUAAUGGCAGUGAUCAGGAAUUGGAAUUUUAAUCCCGCUGCUGUCUUUAAGGAGUUUGUACCUUCUCCUUGUGGCCAAGUGAGUUUCCUCCAACAUUCCGAAACAAAAAUGAUAUAUGGGUUAGGGUUAGUCAGUUGUUGGCAUGGUAUUGGCACUGGUAAUGUGGCAACACAUGCGGGUUGUCCAGCACAAUCCUCACUGAUCUGAUAUGAAGCAAACAGCGCGUUUCAUUGUAUGUUUUGAUGUUUGGUUUUUCAUGUGACAAAUAAACACAUCACAGACAUUGUUUACCGUUGACACAAAUGACACAUUUCACUCUAUGUUUUGAUGUACUUGUGACCAACUAAUCUUUUAAGAUCUUUAAAUAUUUAGGCUUGUGCCAAUUACACCAGAGGCCACCAACCUUUUUUGCACCGCGGACCAGUUUAAUAUUGACAAUAUUCUUGCGGACCAGCCGAUGGUGGGGAGGGGGUUUAGGGAUGUUAAUCACCACCGGAAUAUAGAUGAUAAGUCAACUAUAAGUCAUUUAUAAGUGGCUAAUAGACUCAAUUUCGUUUCUAAAAGGGUUUAUCUAAUAAAUUUAAUAUUAAACACACAGCGCAUAUUUUCCUCACAUGAAUAUAGUGAUAAGUCAAUUGUAACUCACUUAUAAGUCAAUAGCAUCAUAACAUUUUAAGUAACGUUUGGAUCUUAAACACACAGCGCAUAUUUUCCUCGUACGAAUACAUAAAAUCAUUGCAACACACCAGUGAGAGGACAAGGUAAGGGCCGGAGGUCCCCAUACUGGGGCCGUGGUGGUCGCAGUCCGGAGAGAGCAACUGACCAAGCAAGGAGUGCAACAGGGUGUGUGCCCCGCCCCCUCCAUAGAUACACUGACAUUGACUUUCAUAAGACCAGACUAUGCAGCUUGCAAGAGUAAGAGUAAAAAGUGUAAAAAUUACAGAUCCACCGUGGCAAUAAGAGGCUCCACUGGCUUCCACGUACUGUAAGGAACAGAGUGGGUGCCCACCUUCUCAAGUCUAAGAUACCCACAAAACAAAGAAACACAACAGAAUGCAUGAAAAACCACACACAGCAAAGACUGACAAACAUCGAAUGUGUGAAAAAGAACAAAUCCAGCAGAUGAUACGGGAAACAUGAGCUGCAGAGUCCCUGAAAGUGAGUCUACAGGCUGCAGAGUCAGUUCAUUGUUGAGUGAUACAUCAUGGAACAGGCCCUUCAAAUCCAACGUGUUGUGCUGCCGAGCAACCCACCAAUUAAACCCUAGCCUAAUCACAGAACAAUUUACAAUGACCAAUUAACCUACAUACGAGUAUAUCUUUGGACUGUGGGAGAAAACUGGAAUACCCAGAGGAAUCCCACAUGGUCACAGAGAGGACAUUCAGGCUCCUUAUAGACAGUGGCGGAAUUGAACUCUGCCCUCCAAUGCCUAAGCUGUAAUAAUGCCGUGCCAACUGCUAUGCUACUGUAUUGCCAUUGCUUGUUCAUUUUUCAAACAAAAUCAUCAAGACAGUUUAUCUUAUCCCAAGUUUUCUUAUGCCUAUUUUCAUUUUUGAGAUGAGAUCAUGAUGGGCCUAUCAUAAAUAUAACAUUUUUCAGUGUUUUUGUAAUAAAUUUCAAUGGCAUCGUACUGACUAAUUAAAAUUUUAAAGUUGGUAAUUCUAACACCAUUGUCACUCUGGCAGCAGUUCAGAAACUCAAAAGAAAACUGGUACGAGCUGCUUAAAAUCAUCUUAACUCAGAAAACAGCAUUAUUUUGCAUAUGUCUUGGUGUCCAUUAUGAAAUUCAACAUACUUUUUGAUGGAAUUUUUAUUCUCCCGAAACUGCCCUGGCUGCUGUGCUCCUUACCUGCUAAAAUGAUGAAUAGAUAAGUGAGGUUUUGGGUUCAAUUGUUUGCAUGAUUUCUGCUUUUUCCUCUUUCUCUUGCCCUUUUUCUUUUAUUUAUUUAUUUUCUUUAAUUGAGUUCUUUCAGGUUUCUUGCUUUGUGGAUAUCUGUAAGCAAACAAAUCUCAAGGUUGUAUAAUUUAUACAUUCUUUGAUAAUAAAUGUAAUUUGAAUCUUUGUUGUAAAUUUUCUCCAGAUUAUAUGGAUAAUGGAGCAAAAUGCAACACUCAUCCCCAGCAUGUUAUUUGCAGCUCACUAGUCUGAAAGAUGACAGUCCUUCUUUAUAGAACAUAGGACAUUACAGCACAGUGCAAACUGUUCAGCCAUGAUAUGAUGACUUUAUUAAUUACUCUAAGAUCAAUCUAAAGUUUCCCUCCUACAUACCCCUAUAGUUUUCUGUCAUCCAUGUGCCUAUCUGAAUAUCGUAAAUCUCGCUAAUGUAUCUGUCUCUACCAUCACCCCAGCAGCAUGUUCCACGCACCCACCACACUCUAGUUAAAGAACUUAACUUAUAACCCCCUAUACUUUCCUCCAAUCACUUUAAAAUUAUGUCCUCUUGCAUUAGCCAUUUCACCCUCGGAAAAUGUUUCUUUAUGAAGUCACCUCUCAUCCUCCUUUGCUCAAUAGAGAAAAGCUGUAGCUCACUCAGCUUAUCUUCAUAAGACAUGCUGUCUAGUCCAUACAGCAUCCUGGUAAAUCUCCUCUGCACCAUCUCUAAGACCAUGGGAGUGUGCAGAAGAAUUGUGGGGAAUUGGUAGAAAGAGCAGAAAUAAACAGACAGCAUUCAUGCAGUGCUCUGGAGAGAGACAUGACUCCUAAACGUGUUGUUCUUCGGAACAUUCCCCUGACUCCCUAGGAACAAUGUUCCCAUCCUCCUCCUCCACACCAUUUCACCAUCCAAUUUUUUUUGACAGCAAUACACCAUCCUGCACCGGGGAAAGUUUUGUUUGUUUUCCUCUAGGACAGGCAUGGGCAAACUACGGCCCACAGGCCAUAUGCGGCCCGUUAAGCUUUUUAAUCCGGCCCACAGAACUUGAUGAAAUUAUAUUAAUAAACCUUGUUAACGUUUUUUCCCCGCAAAUCUGGCGUUUUCCCAAUAGAUGACGCACUCUAUAUACAUUUGUGGUGACCCAUUUCCUGGCACAUCCGAACCGGCUCACAAUUAGCCAGCGUUCCGGCUAAGGGAGAUGGCCUGCGGGGAUUUGCGUGCACAGAGCUUUGGAGCCUCUGCGCCACGGAGGGCAGGUUGAGGGAGGCUUAAGUGAGGCUGGGGAUUUCGAAUAAAGUUUUUUUCUUCGACUGCAGUUACCGACUCCGUGUCGUAAUUUUAGCGCUGCAUGUAGCACACUGCUACACAUUGACCUUUGUUGAGGUGCAGCGUAUUACUCCACAUUUACACUUUACUCUUUGUUCGGCUCGACCUAUUUGUGUGAACAGGCGUUCAGCGUCAUGAACAUCAACAAAGCCAGCCACAGAUCCAAGUUAACUGACCAACACCUCAGAUCCAUCCUGAGAAUCGCCACAACAAAACUAAAUCCAGACUUUGAUGCGCUGGCUAAAAAGGGAGACCAACAACACUGUUCCCACUGAAAUUAAAAAUGUUUCUUCGUUUUGUUUUGUAAAAAAUGCAUUUGAAAAUAUUUUUUUCAAUAAGCCUUACAUGUUACAUGUCAUUUCUGUUAAGUGAUGGACAUGAGUAGUGCGCAGGUGCACGUACGUUCUCAAAAUAAAAAAUGCACUCCAGAUCAAAUAACGCGCUGUCAUUGUUCUGUCUUUGUGCUGGUCGUUGUUGAGUUUUGGCACAGGGGACAAUUGAAUAAGAAGGAGCAGGACAAGUAGACCUGCAUCUCCUACCGUUUUUGAAAUAAAGACAGUCAGGAGGAGAGUGAUGAUGAUAAUAUCUUGAAGGAUAACAGAAUUUUCAGUGCUUUAAAAUAAUAACUGUUACUAUUAAAAAAGCUGUAUUUUAUUCAUUUAAUUUUCAGUGUUUUAAAAGUCAUUUCAAUAAAUAGCUAAAUACCAUGGGACUUCAAAGACAGAUAUUUUGUUGUAAUGCAUUUGUUCAUUUUCAAUUGAAAUUAAAGCACAUGUUUUCUACAUAUCCCAUGAUAUUUUAUUUUCUCUUAUGAGGUGUAUUACCAAAACACUCCGUCCAUCUGCUCCUGGUCCGGCCCCCCUGUCAAAUUUUAGAACCCUUUGUGACCCACUAGUCAAAAAGUUUGCCCACCCCUGCUCUAGGAGCUUGCUACAGAUAUUGCAUCUGCCAACUUAAUUUUGUCAUUCAAAUUGAUAUAUGAAAUGUAAAAUACAUUCUUCACGAUCUUAUGCAAUGAGAUCCAUAUGGAGUGAUCAGCAAUACAUACAGUGCUGAAUUAUGAUUAUAAUUAUUACUAUAAUUAUUCAAGCUUAAGUUAUUAUUAUCAUGCAACUGUACACAUGUAUACAUUAAGCAAAACAAUGUUCCUCUGGAAUCAAGGUGUAAAACUCUGUGUGUGUGUGUGAUACAGCACAUAAAUAAUAUUAAUGCAAUGAUAUUAACAAAAAUAUUCUGUAGAUGUACAAGUUGACAUAUGAAGUACAUAUACACUACAUUGUUAUUACUGUUAUGUAAUAUAUACAAUGCAUUUUCAUUGUAAAUAAUGUAGUUUUAUUUUCAUUAUUACAUAAAAUUAUACUUACAUUAAUUUUAAAAUAGUGUCUUUAUUAUAAACUAUGUAACAUAGCUUAAUUAUUUGCAAUGCAGAAUCAACCUUCAUGAACAGACUUUAGUCCUGAUGAAAGGUCUCAGCCCAAAACGUCAAUUGUGCUCUUCCUAUUCUUUCUGCCUGGCCUGCUGUGUUCCACCAGCAUUUUGUGUGUAUUGUUUGAACAGACUUUAUGUUAAUUUUUGGAUUACAAUAUGCAAGGCUAUACAAUAUAUCAGUUGCAUGAGAAAAUUAAAUUAAUUUUGUGCACUUUGCUAUUGUUAAUAAAUGAGAUAUUAUAUAUAUAAUUAAUGUAAAAUAAUUACUAUCUCGUCUAUUUAUUAUAAUAAGUAAUGCUGAAUUAUGUAUACACAGUAAGGAAACACUAUUUUAUUCAUGCUAUGGAAUGUAAGUUAUCUUUGCUGGUAUUAUCUAUGUGUUAUUAUAUUAUUGCAGUAUUAUUA
This is a long non-coding RNA of Hypanus sabinus (Atlantic stingray), 13524 nucleotides long. RefSeq lists it as uncharacterized. Lineage: Eukaryota; Metazoa; Chordata; Chondrichthyes; Myliobatiformes; Dasyatidae. The record is from RefSeq and is a predicted model, not a curated record. The transcript is spliced from 4 exons.